UAAGUUUUAAGUUCAUGGUUAUUUUCCUUCAAGUUCUUUCUCUACCUUGAAAGCAACAUUGGUGACAUAGGAGGAACAUCAGUUUGCAACCCCCCAAAUGCUUCUUUUUCAUUCUUUUAUAAACAUUUAAUACCUCCAGAACAUGCUUAUGUCUUUAAGAUUUGGGAGUGUGUGCCAUCCCUCCGCACUGCAGUGUAUGUCAGCUCUCAUUACUCUCUGCCAUAAGUUCAAGUUCAGAAUCAAAGUAUUUCCUGCAUGUAACGCUGAGGUUGCAAAGGCAAAGAUGGGCUGUAUAUACCCACUAUGGCCGUAGACAUUCGAAAUAUUAUAAUCCAGAACUGUAGACCGCAGAACUGUAGAACUGCAGCAAAUGGAUGUAUAAGGCCUAUUUCCCAGCACUAGCUUUCAGAGGCAUUGCACAUAAGCCUCAGGAAACCACCGCUUACAUGAGCAGCACUGUAGCAUCUUUAAUUGCCCAUGUCCAGGGCCCCACAGUGGGAGCGUCCCUGCUGGACACUGGCUUAUGAUCUGCAUUCCAUUCAAGGCCUAUUAUUCCAUAAUGUCUGCUUCCUGACUUGAAGUGUUUUCAGCUCUGGUUGUUUUUAAUGUAUGUCACCCAUCUGUUGUUGCAAAAACACACUGUGGGCAGAGCUUGUUGUUUUUUGUUUUUUGUUUUUUUUUUUCAUCUGAAUCAACAGAGUCAAGAUGGGUAUAUGAAAAAGCUGAUGAUACCUUGGUUGCUCUUGUCACAUGUAACUAUUUCAUUGGAAGCUUCUGAAUAUUCUUUGUGACUAUUGUUCAGGCCUUUCUCCCACUUCCAGUGGUUCCCAUUUGAAUGUCCUGGAGAACCCAGAAUUUACAACCAUCUGCAAGUGUGAUUACAUGAGCCUGCUUCAAUAUGUUGAUCUUUUCGAUAGUCACAGGAUAAAACAAAUCAUCUGACCGUCUUGACCAUCUUCAAAUUUACAUGCAGGAUUUUUGGUUUUGUGUCCAUCUGAUUAUGUAGUCCUUCAUUUGAUCACCUUAAUGUUGCUGAUUACAUUAGACAGGGAAACAGAAUAAAUGGCAUGCAGUGCUUCCCAUUGCUAGAGGUUUGUAUAGACUUUGUGAGGCUACACAUCCUUAGUGUACUUGGAAGGGCUGGAAUGCAACGAAUGUAGCUUUUUUUUUUAAUGUUUGUUUUCAUUGCCCAUUGAUGACUCCUAGAAAGAUGAGUAACUUAGAUUGCACAUCUUUAAGACUGUCCAAGAUUGAUGGCACUCUGGACCUUUUCUUGUUUCACCUUACUAUCCUAGGUUUUCUUUUCUCCUAGUCCAUAAAGGUAUUGUUAAUGCUCAGUACUCAGCACUGGGCUUAUUUGUAUCACAGAUGAAACUUAGAGCAUUCUCCUGGCGGUGACUAGUCAAGUUCACAGGUAAGGGAAGAAAAAGCAUCCUUGUGUGUAGGGAACACAUGAUUGCUAGACAAAAAGCCACUGGAGAAACUCAGUAGGAAUGGGAGGAGGGAGCCUGGUGGAAACUUGACUGAAGGGAUGGCUCAGAACAGCUAAAAUAAGAAACUGACAGCUCCAGUAUGCUCUUGUAGCACUUUGUCAGCUCUGGCUGUUACACCUUAAGGUGGUUACUAUAUAUCUUAGGAAAACAGGGCAACAUACUUCUGAGAGAGCACUUAGUUUCCUUGACUAAAUUUUAGGAAACUGAAAGUACACUCUAUAUACACGGUUCUUGAGUUGAUCUCCAAAUCCCAUAAGAGUGUUAGUCUUUCAGAAGUGUUGAGUAAACUUGUGGAGAUUUAAAAAGCUUCAAAGGAACUUGUAGGUCAGUGAGUGUCCUAUUAGGGUCUCUAUCACUGUGGUGAAACACCAUGGCGAAAAGGAAAGUGUUUAUUUUGAGCCAGGGUUUAUUUUGAGCUCAUGGCAGGAACCUCGAGGUAGGAGCUGAUGCAGACAGAGCCUCUGGAGGAUGCUGCUUUCUGAGCUGCCUCUCACAUCUUGCUCACCUGCUUUCUUGUGGAACCUGGGAUGAUCCACCGUGGGGUGGCACCACCCAUACAUAGGCUUGACCCUCCCAUAUCAACCACCAGUCAAGAAAUGGAUCAGAGGCUUGCCCACAGGCCAACCUGGUGGGAACAUGGGGCAGCUGACGUAAAACUAGCCAGCACAGUGAACAAGAAUAGUUUACUUUUUUUGAAUGCUGAACGAUUUAAGAUAGCAGAAAAAAAAAUGCCUGAAGUCAGAACAUUUUCUUAAUAAAAAAGUAGCUGUUAUGCAUAAGCAAUUUGGGGCUGGAUUUAUAUGUUCUCUAGAGUUAGAGACUUUUUUUUUGGAAGGGGUUGCUUUGUUUUGAAGUUAGUUGCAUUAUCAUUCUAAAGUAGCUUUCCAAUUAGCAACAGACACUAGUAAAAUGCUUACAGUAACCCCCUCCCCCUCUACUCCUGGAAGUGUGAGCUCCUUUCUGGCCAAUCCAGGUGCUAUGGCUUCCAGCCAGGGCAGAUGGAACCUGAGAGACUCAGGUUCUGCUUCUUUCAGGAGCGGCUAGAGCACUCAGAGCAAGGUCUGUGCAUAAGGAUCCCAGAUCUCACCUGGGGGUAUGGAAAAGAGUUUCCUACUAUGUUGCAAUUAGCUCAUUUUAGUGAGAUUGCUGGUACCAGACUCCAAAGUCGGUGAGAGCAGACAGCUUUCCAAAACUGAUGAUGAUACUGCAGUGUCGCAGCCCUUCGGUUAAGCUGCCCUCCUAAUGGCAGAGGAUGCUUUGUCGGCUCACAGUUGGAAUGUAGGUCUGGCCGAAGCUUCCUUGGCAGUCAGCUGCUGGCCUCAUUUAUGGCUGCCUGGCCAUAAGUCAAGUCCUGGCAUCCAAUGGUGAACUCUUCAGGGAGGAGGGGAGCCAGUCCUUCCCCAGAAUAAAUAACGAGUCACUCUCAGUGGUCAUGGUGGAGGAAUGGAGUGAGAGAGCAAUCGUGCAUUUAUUUCAUGAAUCAGGGAAGUUUAAAACCUUGGGCAGUGGGAGGGGUUUUGGGGAUGAAUGUGAUUGAUUUGCUAGAGAUGCCAGUGAUAUUUCAUUUGUAUGUGGCAGCACAGGAUUACAUUCCAGAGCACAGUAGUAAAUGUGGUAGCACAGUCCUAGCACAGGAAAGGGGAAUGCAGUACUUAAUUAUCCUAUAGGUGGGGGAAAAACUCCAGGUAUGGUUAAAGAUCAUUUGCUGAAAGCUAAGGUCUCCUUAGCAUAGGGUGGGGUAUUUCCAGGAAUUUCCUGGUGCUUGCUGAACAGGUUGUACCAGGAGAAUGGGAGUUGAACCUGUUUUUCCCUAAGGACUAGGUGACAUUCCUCAGGUAGAGGAUGUAGGGAUUUGGGUUCCCCAGAGUAGGCAGAGAAGAGGGAGCCCUGUUGACAAGGGAGUCUGUUAUUUUUUGCACUGGGCUCAGAAAUUAUCUGGUAAUGCCAGACUUUGACCUUAACAGCAGGGCCUCACAUUUUCCCCUUGGCUAAACUUCUCAAAUUUUUACUGAAUUUGUCUUUGGAAUAAGAGAAUAAAAUAUCUCUUAUUAAAGAGACAGUUGCUUGACCAUUGUUCAGUGCUGUUCUCUUCACAAUAGGUAGGCAAUGGAAGCAGCAUAGAAUGGAUAAUGAGAAUUUGAUACAUAUACACAAUGGAGUUGUAUUCGGCUAUAAAGAAAAAUGAAAUCAUGAAACUCGUGGGUCAGUGGAUGGAACUAGAAGAUACUAUACUUGAGUAGGAUAUGCAUGACUUGGAGGAACCUGGCUGGAACUGAUCAGAAAGCCUCUUCCUUGAGGCCUGUCUGCUCUUCUAGAAUCUGAAGCUGUUACGUAAACUUCUAAAGGAGAAAAGCAACUGCUGGCCCUACCCAGCUGUAAAGCCUGCACUACAACAGUGAUCAACCCUGCAAGUGAUCUCCAACAGUCCCAGAGGUGAGAACCUUCACAGAACAGAAAUACACAACUGGUCAAAUUGCAGAGACCAAGAGUCUAUGGAAUUCCCAGUCUAUAGGUUUCUACAGCAUCACCCCUAUGCCUGAUAUUCAGGGAACAAUAUGGAAGAGGGAGCAAAGAUGAUGUAAGAGCCAGAGGACCAGGAUGCCCGUUGCAGGGUAGUGGCUUCUAAACAUUGCAGUAAUGCUACUCUCAUGGACUUUCAACAAUGUGGUUGCUUAAACAAGACCUGCAUGGUGGUGGAGCCGGUUUACACGCCAGCAUGGAUAGGGGAAAUUUUCCAAGGCCCUACCCUUUCUAGAUGAAGAGCAAUCAGUGGCUUCUGAGGGAGGAAGAAUUUUUUUGAGGAACAGUCUCCUUGUUGAUUAUUCAGUUCCAAGUGGCCAGCUGUAAACACAUGUACAUACAAGCAACACUAAAUGGACCCAGUAGGUUGUGUGCAUGCACGUGUGCACAUGUGCGUGUGUGCAUGUGUGUAUCAACAAUAAUUAAAGAAGAGAUCAGUAAGUUUAGAAGGAAUAAGGGGGCAUGAAAAGAACUGGAGGAGAAGAAAGAGGCGUAGAAGUGAUAUAAAUACAGUACUUGUGUGAAAUUCUCAAAAUAAACAAAAAUAUUUUAAAAAUGAAGUAAAUAAUAAAGUAUUUUUUGUUUUUGUUAUAAUAUUGAAGUAAUACAUAAAAUAUAUAGCUAUCAUUACUUUAGUGAAUUACAUUCUUUUGUUUCUGCCAUUUAUUAUACCUAUAAUAUAUAUUUUAUUUUAAUUAAAACAUGGUAUUCA
Long non-coding RNA from Meriones unguiculatus (Mongolian gerbil), 4725 nucleotides. RefSeq lists it as uncharacterized. The transcript has 3 exons. The record is from RefSeq and is a predicted model, not a curated record. Lineage: Eukaryota; Metazoa; Chordata; Mammalia; Rodentia; Muridae.